GAAUUGCAUUUGAAACUGGCAGACUAGAGUACUGUAGAGGGGGGUAGAAUUUCAGGUGUAGCGGUGAAAUGCGUAGAGAUCUGAAGGAAUACCGGUGGCGAAGGCGGCCCCCUGGACAGAUACUGACACUCAGAUGCGAAAGCGUGGGGAGCAAACAGGAUUAGAUACCCUGGUAGUCCACGCCGUAAACGAUGUCUACUUGGAGGUUGUGGCCUUGAGCCGUGGCUUUCGGAGCUAACGCAUUAAGUAGACCGCCUGGGGAGUACGGUCGCAAGAUUAAAACUCAAAUGAAUUGACGGGGGCCCGCACAAGCGGUGGAGCAUGUGGUUUAAUUCGAUGCAACGCGAAGAACCUUACCUACUCUUGACAUCCAGAGAACUUUCCAGAGAUGGAUUGGUGCCUUCGGGAACUCUGAGACAGGUGCUGCAUGGCUGUCGUCAGCUCGUGUUGUGAAAUGUUGGGUUAAGUCCCGCAACGAGCGCAACCCUUAUCCUUGUUUGCCAGCGAGUAAUGUCGGGAACUCCAGGGAGACUGCCGGUGAUAAACCGGAGGAAGGUGGGGACGACGUCAAGUCAUCAUGGCCCUUACGAGUAGGGCUACACACGUGCUACAAUGGCGCAUACAGAGGGCAGCCAACUUGCGAGAGUGAGCGAAUCCCAAAAAGUGCGUCGUAGUCCGGAUCGGAGUCUGCAACUCGACUCCGUGAAGUCGGAAUCGCUAGUAAUCGUGGAUCAGAAUGCCACGGUGAAUACGUUCCCGGGCCUUGUACACACCGCCCGUCACACCAUGGGAGUGGGCUGCAAAAGAAGUAGGUAGUUUAACCUUCGGGAGGACGCUUACCACUUUGUGGUUCAUGACUGGGGUGAAGUCGUAACAAGGUAGCGCUAGGGGAACCUGGCGCUGGAUCACCU
Molecule: ribosomal RNA, 911 nt
Filed under: Vibrio campbellii
Lineage: Bacteria; Pseudomonadati; Pseudomonadota; Gammaproteobacteria; Vibrionales; Vibrionaceae
Description: bacterial SSU rRNA
Rfam family: Bacterial small subunit ribosomal RNA
Source: RNAcentral